UACGUAGGGUGCAAGCGUUAUCCGGAAUUACUGGGCGUAAAGAGUUCGUAGGCGGAUUUUUAAGUCGGAUGUUAAAUCAACAGGCUCAACUUGUUGGCUGCAUCCGAUACUGGGAGUCUUGAGAGUGGAAGAGGUAAGCGGAAUUUCCGGUGGAGCGGUAAAAUGCGUAGAUAUCGGAAAGAACACCAAUGGCGAAGGCAGCUUACUGGGCCAUUUCUGACGCUGAGGAACGAAAGCGUGGGGAG
RNAcentral lists this ribosomal RNA (245 nucleotides) under uncultured bacterium. Its description in RNAcentral is "partial 16S ribosomal RNA". It matches the Rfam family "Bacterial small subunit ribosomal RNA", at positions 524 to 768 of the family's 1533-position model. The record is from RNAcentral.